This 468-nucleotide ribosomal RNA is filed under the name uncultured bacterium. RNAcentral describes it as "partial 16S ribosomal RNA". It matches the Rfam family "Bacterial small subunit ribosomal RNA", at positions 28 to 507 of the family's 1533-position model. The record is from RNAcentral.
GACGAACGCUGGCGGCGUGCUUAACACAUGCAAGUCGAACGGAAAGGCCCUGCUUUUGUGGGUUGCUCGAGUGGCGAACGGGUGAGUAACACGUGAGUAACCUGCCCUUGACUUUGGGAUAACUUCAGGAAACUGGGGCUCAUACCGGAUAGGAGCUCCUGCUGCAUGGUGUGGGUUGGAAAGUUUCGGCGGUUGGGGAUGGACUCGCGGCUUAUCAGCUUGUUGGUGGGGUAGUGGCUUACCAAGGCUUUGACGGGUAGCCGGCCUGAGCGGGUGACCGGCCACAUUGGGACUGAGAGACGGCCCAGACUCCUACGGGAGGCAGCAGGGGGGAAUAUUGAACAAUGGGCGGAAGCCUGAUGCAGCAACGCCGCGUGCGGGAUGACGGCCUUAGGGUUGUAAACCGAUUUCGCCUGUGACGAAGCGUGAGUGACGGUAAUGGGUAAAGAAGCACCGGCUAACUACGUG